RNAcentral lists this small nuclear RNA (84 nucleotides) under Mus pahari (shrew mouse). RNAcentral's name for it is "snRNA (MGP_PahariEiJ_G0033193.1)". Lineage: Eukaryota; Metazoa; Chordata; Mammalia; Rodentia; Muridae. The record is from RNAcentral.
AGCUUUGCACAGUAGCAGAAUCACAGCCAAUGAGGCUUAGAGGUACGAUUAUUGCUAAUUGAAAACUUAUGUCACACCCUUUGC